UAAUGGGUCAGCGACUUAUAUUCAGUGGCAAGGUUAACCAUCUAGGGGAGCCGUAGGGAAACCGAGUCUUAACUGGGCGUUCAGUCUCUGGAUAUAGACCCGAAACCAGGUGAUCUAGCCAUGGGCAGGUUGAAGGUUGAGUAACAUCAACUGGAGGACCGAACCGACUAAUGUUGAAAAAUUAGCGGAUGACUUGUGGCUAGGGGUGAAAGGCCAAUCAAACCUGGAGAUAGCUGGUUCUCCCCGAAAGCUAUUUAGGUAGCGCCUCGGACGAAUACUACUGGGGGUAGAGCACUGUUAAGGCUAGGGGGUCAUCCCGACUUACCAACCCUUUGCAAACUCCGAAUACCAGUAAGUACUAUCCGGGAGACACACGGCGGGUGCUAACGUCCGUCGUGGAGAGGGAAACAACCCAGACCGCCAGCUAAGGUCCCAAAUUACUACUAAGUGGGAAACGAUGUGGGAAGGCUCAGACAGCCAGGAUGUUGGCUUAGAAGCAGCCAUCAUUUAAAGAAAGCGUAAUAGCUCACUGGUCGAGUCGGCCUGCGCGGAAGAUGUAACGGGGCUAAGUAGUAAACCGAAGCUGCGGCAAUAUACUUUUGUAUAUUGGGUAGGGGAGCGUUCUGUAAGCGG
This 633-nucleotide ribosomal RNA is filed under the name Vibrio parahaemolyticus. Its description in RNAcentral is "partial 23S ribosomal RNA". It matches the Rfam family "Bacterial large subunit ribosomal RNA", at positions 613 to 1250 of the family's 2925-position model. The record is from RNAcentral. Lineage: Bacteria; Pseudomonadati; Pseudomonadota; Gammaproteobacteria; Vibrionales; Vibrionaceae.